Molecule: long non-coding RNA, 6768 nt
Filed under: Malus domestica (apple)
Lineage: Eukaryota; Viridiplantae; Streptophyta; Magnoliopsida; Rosales; Rosaceae
Description: long non-coding RNA (MDOM_LNC016710)
Source: RNAcentral
AAAUCAGUUUUUAUACGAACGGAUAAGUAAAUUGAAAUCACAACUUAUGAAAUCACAACCGAAGGUAAUCAAUUCAUAUUACAAAUAUAUAUUCAUGGUUUCGAAUUAACCUCUAGCCAAAAUAAAAUUAAUUACACAUUAUUAAAACAAAAAUAAAAUAGGAGUUUGGAAAGAUUAAACCGAAAGAGGAGAAUGCUUCAGUGCUCUGUCCGUGCCUUUGAACCAUUUUCUGCGAGCUCCCUCUCUCCUGCCUGGCGCUGUGCUUCUGUUUCUGUCAGUCUGCUUCUCACGUCUCACUCUCCCUUUAUUCUCACGCUGCCAGGCUGCCAAAGGCAGCUCUCUAUUUUUUCUGUUUUCUCUUCCGCUCUCAGCUAAAGCUGCGCCAAAGGCAGCUUUCCUCCAAGGCUAAUGCCCUUACUGUCGGUUUUUCCUUCACAGCAGCAAGUGCUGCUUAUUUCUUUUCUUGGUCUCUGCGAGCUGCCCCAAAGGGCAGCCCCUUUCUCCCCGAGGCCCUCUGCUUCUCCCUUUUUCUCCCGCUGCAAUCUCCUUUUUUUGCCUUGGAUUCUUUCCUUUUUUUGUCCAACUCUUUCUUUCCACCGUUUUCUUUCUUUUUUUUUUUCUACAAAACAAAACCAUCAUGAUGAUGUUUCAAACAUCAUCACGACUUAUCAUUAUUAAAUAUAAUUUUUAAUUUAAUUUAAAAGCUGAUCUACACAGACAGUUUUGACGAAUUUAUUACAUAAAAUUUCACUUGUUCUAUUUUUAUUUUCUUUGCAUAACAAAUCCUAUAAACACAAAAAUAACGUAAAUAGCUCAAAAAUAUAAGGAACUAACUAAGAAAAGACGAGUGAAUUCGAAGUAAAAAUAUAUAUAAAUAUGAUCCGAUCAAAUACCCCCACACUUAACUUUUGCUAGUCCUCGAGCAAAACAAAGAAAUUAUGAAAAAGUAAUAACAUGAAAAACAUUAGCUUCCCUCUAUGUGACCCUCAUAGAAUUUCAUUCAAGAAAACAAAUCAUCAAGAACCAUAGCUAGCAUCAAGGAACUAAUCCAAGUUCAUCUUCCUUAUUCAAAUAUUAGCAGUAAUCUUUAAAUCAUCCUUGAAGUGUAGUGUGUGAGAUAGCCAUGCUAAUGCAAUUUCAAGUUUUUAUUUUUAAAAUCAUCAUAUGCAAACUAGUAACCUUCUCACGGGAUAUACACUCAAUCACAUAUGUGUUUAGUUUUAAUGUGUUUCGCUCAAAGAAACAAAUGUAAAAUUUCUACCAUAAGCUUGCAUAAAGAUCACUUCUCCACAGUCAUAAUUGCAAAACUUAAAUCAAGAGGACUUUUAUUGGAUGUAAUGAGGCUUAGGGAUAGGGUUAUUGAAACGAAAGAAUAGGAAAACACAAGUUCCAAGCUACAUUGCAAGCAAUUCUUUUGUCUAGAUUUAUAAGAACUCAAGCUCUCCAACGAUUCUUCAGAAACCUCCAAUCACACCCUUAAACUGAAACUUGAAAAACAAAUUUUUUUUUCUUUUUUUUUCGUAUACAAUCUUUCUUUUUCUUUUUCUUUUCUCUUUUUUUUUUUUUUUUUUUUUUUUUUUUUAUACAAACAUGAAAUACCCCCACACUUAUUUUUUUUGCCAAACACCUUCAAAGUACUUCACAAACGUUUCUCAUAAGAUAAUUUCGCAUUGCUCGCUUGGAAAGGGUAAGGAAAAAUGUUUCAGGUAUAAGGGUAGACAUAUCUGGUGAUAAGAAAUAAAAGGCUCAGCAUACACGGCUCAAAUUGGCAAUCUAAUGAUAUCAUUUUUCUUUGGGAAACAUGGUUAUUUGGGCCAUGGUGGUAAACCUAAUGCCUCUAUCAUUUCCAAGUUCAUGCAAUCAAUGACAAACAUUUCGAAAGAUCGUUACGCAAGUUCUAGAGAUGUAUCUCACAUAAGUUCAUCACACAUGAAAGAAUAGGAGUGUAUGAAAAAUGCACACACUUUCAAUCGGCUCAAAAACUCACAUAGGAUGUAUAUGGUCACUAAAUUCACAUAUGAAGCUUUAAGUCAUACUUUAGUUUCACAUCAACAAGGCUAUGUGCAUUUGGUUUUUCAAAGAUGAUCAAACAUGUACAAAACUAACAAGAGAAUUAGGAAUUUCACCAAACACAUGUUAACUAAGUUCUUGAUGAUCAUGGUUCAAAUUUUUUGAUCCAAUUAUAUCAUUGGGUCGGGAAACUAACAAAAAUCUGAUUCAGAACAAUAAGGGAAACAAGACAAUAUUUUUUUGGAUUUUUAAAUUUUCCGAUUUUUUUUUUUUAUUUUUUUUAUUUUAUUUUAAAAGAAAACAAAACUAAUUAAGAACACAAAAAACAACAACACAGUUUUUUUUUUUUUUUAUAGAGAAAACAAAACUAAAAAAAAAAUAAAAAAUAAAAAGCAACAACACAGAAACAAAUGAAAUUCUAGAGAUUUCUACCCCCACACUUAAACUUGACAUUGUCCCCAAUGUCAGAAAACACUAUAAUGCAAAAAUAAAUAAAAUAAACAAAAUAAUAAAAAAACAAAAUAAAGCAAUUGGACUGAAAACUUCCCUAAUUUGCAGUAAAAUCAAGCGAUGACCCCCAAGCUAAAAUUCUGCAAUCAACUUCAAGGGUGGAAAUAACCAAAAGUUCCUGCAAAGAAAAGAAAUAAUUCAGUUAAGUACGCAAGAAAUUAAUUAAAAAAAAAAUUGCAAACGAAAAAUUGAAAAUUACGAUAAAAGAUAAUGAAUAAAACUAAUAAGUAAUCAUUGGUCGUGCUUGUUGACUUUCCACAGCUUUCCUCUUGAACAGGGUGACACUUAGCUUUUCACUUGCAAGUGAUGAUUUUAUGAUAUUGUACGGCGAAGCUUUGCUCUUUGGUUAUGUUGCAGUUCCUUAUUUGUUCUCCAAGCAGAUGUGGCAGCUUCUCUAGUUCUUCAGUUCGGACUCCUUGUGCUGGGUUGAUUGUACGAGCUGCAUUCUUCUCUGCUUGUUUCUUCUGUACGUUGUCUCCACAUGCUGCUGGUAUCAUUUUCGCUUGCCUUAUCUGUUCUUCAGGUAGAUGUGGCAGCUUCUUUGGAAGUACAUCAGCAGUGGAAGACGAGUACUCGAGAGCAAUUUCUCCAUGUCCUGCAGGUUAGAACAAAGACAAGGAAAAGGACAUGGAGAAUGCAUGAUAUGAGAUACUCUUGCUUUCAACCUUUAUGAUAUGAAAUACUUUUGCUUUGAAUGGGUUGUUCGCAGGAGUAUCCCAAGGAAUGAGGAACACAGAGUGACUCGAGAGGAUUCUUUGGGAAUGCAUUUUCGGAGAUGAAGAGGUGUUGAGAGGGUGUGCUGAGAGAGUGUGCUUUUGCUGUGGAAGGCGAAGGUAGAAACUUAUAGGACUUGUCUUCACAACCGGAACUGUUCUCUCACUUAGUGUCGGCAGCCGGUGGAUGGGUGAAGAAUAUAAAUUACGCGCUUUCUGACAAAGCUGCCCGUAAUUUCCGCAAAGCUGAUUCCUCAUUGAUAUCUGUAAUCGGCGCUUCGAGCUCUGAGCAUCGUCGAUUGUAGAGGUAGCAUGUGACACGUGCGGAUAAAUCUGGAAAAGAAGAUUUUCCCGUGGGUUGAAGCCCAGCUUUUGAGAAAGCUAGCGUGUCUUUGACUGUUGAAUUUCCCUCUUCGAUUUCUGAAUUGGUGCUUCGACAAAUUGCCCGAGAUUUCCGCAAAGCAAUUUGCGUGUGACAAGUGACGACACGUCUGGACAAAUUGAUCUUUUGAAAUCCGGGGUUCGGCUCGUGGUUUCUGAGCAAGCCCAGCCUUUAAGAAAUGAAACGCCUCUUUUGAGAAAAGAAUCCGGCUUUUGAGAAAGGAAACUCCUCUUUUGAGAAAAGAAUCAGACGUUUGAGAACGGAGCCCCGACUCUUCGAUUUGCGAGAGGACGCUUCUCUGAGGAGCGCCUCUUUGAUUUCUUCCUUUUUAUAGAGACGUUAAGCUUGUUCCACAACACACUUGAGUACCCUCCUGUAAACACUCCCUUCUUGCACUUGUUUAAUCUUGAUCAUUCCGACUCUCUUCUUUCUUUACCACCUCUGAAAAAUGUCUGGCCCUUCUGAUCGUCGUUUUGACUUGAACAUUGGUGAAGAGGCAGCUCCGCCUUCACCAGACAACAUAUGGCGGCCAUCCUUCAUAUCCCCUACCGGUCCCCUUACCGUGGGGGAUUCGAUGAUGAAAAAUGACAUGACCGCUGCGGUGGUGGCCCGAAACCUUGUCACUCCCAGAGAUAACAGACUGCUCGCAAGGCGGUCUGAUGAAUUGGCGGUCAAGGAGUCUCUGGCUCUCAGUGUGCAGUGUGCGGGUUCCGUAUCCAACAUGGCCCAACGCCUAUAUGCCCGAACCCGUCACGUUGAAUCCUUGGUGGCUGAAAUACAGAGUCUCAAGCAAGAGAUUAAAGGGCUCAAGCAUGAGAAUAAGGAAUUGCACAAGCUCGCACACAGCUAUGCCACCAGCAUGAAAGAGGAAGAUUGACCAGAUGCAGGACACCGAUGGUCAAAUUUUACUUGAUCAUCGGAGGUUUGUGGGUUUGUUCCAACCGCAUCUGCCUUCGUCUUCUGGAGCGGCACCGCGUAGUGAAGCUCCAACUGAUCAACCUCUGCCGCCUCCUCCUUCUGUGGCCCCGCCGACUGCUGAAGCCCCGCCUACUACUGAAGCACCACCCGACCAAUGAAUACUAUUAGUUUACAUCAUUGUAAAAUAUUUGUACUUUUUUUUUUAUUUAUUUAUUUAUUUUUUUUUUUUUUUUUUUGUAUUUUUUUUUUUUUUUUUUUUUUUUUUUAUCACUAAUUUUAAAUUUUAUCUUUUUUUUUUUUUUUUUUUUUUUAAUUUUUUUUUUUUUUUUUUGUAAAUUAAUGUAAAGAGACUUUGGUUAACCUUCCCCCACACUUAAACUAAGUAAUACAAACUCACAGAAAUCAACCAAAUAACACAACUAACUAAACAAAACAAAAUGAAAGCAGCAAAGAUAAGGGUGUAAAAAUGCAAAUCUGAUUGGGUUAGCGAUUCCAAAGUCUCCCUUCGUUGAAUGCUUGGGUUGCCUCCCAAGAAGCGCUUGAUUUAACGUCUUUAGCCGGACGCAUCUUUCCUUUAAAUUUCCCUCGGCUCCAUUUGAACCUAAAAUCAAAGAAAAAUAAAUCAAAUAUCAAAAGUAAAAUACACAAACACCAAUAUAAACAUAAACAAAAACAAAAAUAAAAGGAUUAGCAAAGUUACUAAUCCCCGGCAACGGCGCCAAAAUUUGAUGUGAAAAAUAAGUUAACACACAAAAUUAAACCCUCUUUUUGACAAUUGUAGUAUAGAUGUAAGUAGGGUAUCGUUCUAGGCCGGGGAUUAGGAGGGAUUGCUAAUCUAUUCUAAAUUAACUUAAAAAUAUUAAACAAGACUCAAGGACACAAAAUUAGGCUAAAAACUCUAAUAACUCGAAACACACUUAAAAUGACUCAAAAUAAUGAAAACAAUUAAAUUAAACACUAGGAACUGAAAUGGACGGAAAUUAAAUUAAAAGACUAACAAUAAAGAAAACUAACUAAAAAAUAUAAUUUAAUAAUGGAUGGGUGUUUGGUUUUGAUGAAAAGUAAAUUAAACUUAAUUAAAUUACAGAAUUGACAAAAACAUGAAAUUAAGGUGAAAUGAUAAAUGACGGACUAGCUAGAGGGUUCUUCCCCACACAUGACACAUAUGCAACUUAAAUUGAUUUUCAGUUGUUCUUUCAAUAAAUUGUGAAUUUCAAUACUCCAGAUUAACCGUGAACAGCACUUUUUUAAUCUUCAAGUUUUCCUUAAGUUAUUGAAUUGGACGGGAAAACGCAUACAACAAUUCAAAACAUUCUUCAAAAGUCCCCUACGUGAAAAGCACAAUAGAGAUACAAAUCAAAGAUCAUUAAACUUUGUGAAAACUAUAAGCAUUGACGAGGCAUUCGUAACUAUGAAAAGCAUGAUACUCUUGCCAAGAAUUUACUUAACGUGAUUGUGACUAGCAACCUUUACUACUUGUGAAAAUAAGUUCAUAACGAUUAGGUGAAAUUCACUUAUAUUCUAGCAUCAAAUUCAUGCAUGUAAAUUAAGCGUGCACUCUCAACCAACAUACACAAAUCAGUUUUUAUACGAACGGAUAAGUAAAUUGAAAUCACAACUUAUGAAAUCACAACCGAAGGUAAUCAAUUCAUAUUACAAAUAUAUUCAUGGUUUCGAAUUAACCUCUAGCCAAAAUAAAAUUAAUUACACAUUAUUAAAACAAAAAUAAAAUAGGAGUUUGGAAAGAUUAAACCGAAAGAGGAGAAUGCUUCAGUGCUCUGUCCGUGCCUUUGAACCAUUUUCUGCGAGCUCCCUCUCUCCUGCCUGGCGCUGUGCUUCUGUUUCUGUCAGUCUGCUUCUCACGUCUCACUCUCCCUUUAUUCUCACGCUGCCAGGCUGCCAAAGGCAGCUCUCUAUUUUUUCUGUUUUCUCUUCCGCUCUCAGCUAAAGCUGCGCCAAAGGCAGCUUUCCUCCAAGGCUAAUGCCCUUACUGUCGGUUUUUCCUUCACAGCAGCAAGUGCUGCUUAUUUCUUUUCUUGGUCUCUGCGAGCUGCCCCAAAGGGCAGCCCCUUUCUCCCCGAGGCCUCUGCUUCUCCCUUUUUCUCCCGCUGCAAUCUCCUUUUUUUGCCUUGGAUUCUUUCCUUUUUUUGUCCAACUCUUUCUUUCCACCGUUUUCUUUCUUUUUUUUUUUCUACAAAACAAAACCAUCAUGAUGAUGUUUCAAACAUCAUCACG